Molecule: non-coding RNA, 1312 nt
Organism: Bactrocera oleae (olive fruit fly)
Lineage: Eukaryota; Metazoa; Arthropoda; Insecta; Diptera; Tephritidae
Source: RefSeq, a predicted model, not a curated record
AUAGCCUCAGUGCAACCGAAGCUAACGUUUUUUUGGUUUUCUGGAUGGAGUACACUUCACUGCUAUCAAUUACUGAGCUUAUGACAGUCGGGUCUAAGUAACUGGAACGAACCUGGAUUUUUAUCCGGCCAAGGACAGUCAGCUCGGCACCAUUCCUCGAAAUUACUUCAGGAAUUUACUUCUUCUGCCGCUACAACAACAACAACUGAGCUCGUUCUCAAAGCAGUCGAGUUUACAUAAAUGAAACGAUAAAACGGAAGGUUAGGGAAAGGUCCGCUUCGAAUUUGUUGGCCUACAGAGAAGAGAUCUUAGACGAGUACGUUUAAAUUUUGUGGUCAGAGUCAGAAAAUUGUAUUCCUUUACAGCAUACAAAGUGCAAUUGUGCGAUGGUUACACCAGUCUUAGGAAGAUACUUUAACUUUUUUAUGUAAAGGCCGCUGUUUGUUGAGGUCAGGAAGUUAAAUGCUUAUUUUUCAGUAAAUAUUUUCAGCUUAUAUAACAAAACUGAUCUUGGCGCAGAUCUGAAAAUGGUCCUUUCUCCAGAACUACUACCUCUUUCUUUUCACCUAUUGCCAAGUCGAAAAUUGAUUUUUAUUUACGAAUUAAAAGGUUUGUUCAUCUAAGUCGCAGAUAAAUUAACAAUAUUGCUAACAAGAGAAGCAAUCCACAAUGGUUUUAUACAAUAAAUAAUCAUUUAUUUUAAACUAAGCAAAUUUACGAAAUUUAAUCAUCUUUUAUUAACUUCAUAAUUACUUCAGCAAUAAGUCACUUAAGUGACGAAAAGUGUACGUACAAAAUUUAAGUAUGAAAACUAAUUGUGUAAAUAUAUUUCGUGAAGAUAUUUUGUCAAUUAAAAAAGUUUUCCAUACAACAACUUGAUUUGGAUCGGUCAAAUUGUAAGGCAGAGGAUAUAGUGGAUCGAAUUUGUUUGGAGAUUAUAGCGCUGCCUUCAAAAAUAAAAUGUGCCAAAUUUCGUAAAGACAAUAUGUCAAAUAAACAAGUUUUCCUUACAUCGACUUGAUUUCGACCGAUUAGUUUUUAUGGCAGCUAUACGCUACAGUAGGCUGAUAUCGGCGGUUCCGAAAUGAGCAGCUUCUUGGAAAAAGAACGUGUGCAAAAUUUCAGAUCGAUAUCUCAAAAUUGAGUGACUAGUAUGUACAGACAGACAAACACGCGGACAUGGCUAACAUGGCUAAAUCAACUCAACUCACCGAAGUUUCCUUCUGGGUGUUACAAACUUCGUGGCAAACUAAAUAUAUCUCUUCAGGCUAUAAAAAAUAAUUUCAUGAAUAUAUAUUUACAUGUGCACACA